This 468-nucleotide ribosomal RNA is filed under the name uncultured bacterium. RNAcentral's name for it is "partial 16S ribosomal RNA". It matches the Rfam family "Bacterial small subunit ribosomal RNA", at positions 28 to 507 of the family's 1533-position model. The record is from RNAcentral.
GACGAACGCUGGCGGCGUGCUUAACACAUGCAAGUCGAACGGAAAGGCCCUGCUUUUGUGGGGUGCUCGAGUGGCGAACGGGUGAGUAACACGUGAGUAACCUGCCCUUUACUUUGGGAUAACUUCAGGAAACUGGGGCUAAUACCGGAUAUGAGCUCCUGCUGCAUGGUGGGGGUUGGAAAGUUUCGGCGGUUGGGGAUGGACUCGCGGCUUAUCAGCUUGUUGGUGGGGUAGUGGCUUACCAAGGCUUUGACGGGUAGCCGGCCUGAGAGGGUGACCGGCCACAUUGGGACUGAGAUACGGCCCAGACUCCUACGGGAGGCAGCAGUGGGGAAUAUUGCACAAUGGGCGGAAGCCUGAUGCAGCAACGCCGCGUGCGGGAUGACGGCCUUCGGGUUGUAAACCGCUUUCGCCUAUGACGAAGCGUGAGUGACGGUAAUGGGUAAAGAAGCACCGGCUAACUACGUG